Molecule: ribosomal RNA, 636 nt
Filed under: Aspergillus fumigatus
Lineage: Eukaryota; Fungi; Ascomycota; Eurotiomycetes; Eurotiales; Aspergillaceae
Description: eukaryotic LSU rRNA
Rfam family: 5.8S ribosomal RNA (bases 219-372)
Source: RNAcentral
CUUCCGUAGGGUGAACCUGCGGAAGGAUCAUUACCGAGUGAGGGCCCUCUGGGUCCAACCUCCCACCCGUGUCUAUCGUACCUUGUUGCUUCGGCGGGCCCGCCGUUUCGACGGCCGCCGGGGAGGCCUUGCGCCCCCGGGCCCGCGCCCGCCGAAGACCCCAACAUGAACGCUGUUCUGAAAGUAUGCAGUCUGAGUUGAUUAUCGUAAUCAGUUAAAACUUUCAACAACGGAUCUCUUGGUUCCGGCAUCGAUGAAGAACGCAGCGAAAUGCGAUAAGUAAUGUGAAUUGCAGAAUUCAGUGAAUCAUCGAGUCUUUGAACGCACAUUGCGCCCCCUGGUAUUCCGGGGGGCAUGCCUGUCCGAGCGUCAUUGCUGCCCUCAAGCACGGCUUGUGUGUUGGGCCCCCGUCCCCCUCUCCCGGGGGACGGGCCCGAAAGGCAGCGGCGGCACCGCGUCCGGUCCUCGAGCGUAUGGGGCUUUGUCACCUGCUCUGUAGGCCCGGCCGGCGCCAGCCGACACCCAACUUUAUUUUUCUAAGGUUGACCUCGGAUCAGGUAGGGAUACCCGCUGAACUUAAGCAUAUCAAUAAGCCGGAGGGAUCAUUACCGAGUGAGGGCCCUCUGGGUCCAACCU